RNAcentral lists this non-coding RNA (21 nucleotides) under Rattus norvegicus (Norway rat). Lineage: Eukaryota; Metazoa; Chordata; Mammalia; Rodentia; Muridae. The record is from RNAcentral.
UCAUACGAGGUCAUUUCCAAC